UCUCAACCUGUCAGAGCCUGACCUCCCUUCUCAUUGUGUGGCUCCACCCAUGGUAGUCUGGCUCCGCCCUCUCAAUCCUGCGUUUGGGAGGCAUUUAUCUUUCUCCUUCAGGCCCCUCACCAACAGCAGUUCAUCCUUCCCCCUCAUUAUGCCUUCUCCUUUAAGGUGGCUGCUACUGGACACAGACACCCGUGACCUGGUGGCUAUCCACACAGAUGGCAAUGAGCAGAUCUCUGUGGUCAGCUUUUCACCAGACGGGGCGUACCUGGCUGUGGGCUCCCACGACAACUUGGUGUACGUGUACACGGUGGACCAGGGUGGCCGCAAGGUCAGCCGCCUGGGCAAGUGCUCGGUGAGUGGGCAGUGGUCCCCAGCCCGCGCCACCACCCCGCCCAAUGGGGUGCAAAAUUAACUUUUUCUAUCACG
This 426-nucleotide long non-coding RNA is filed under the name Rattus norvegicus (Norway rat). Its description in RNAcentral is "long non-coding RNA NONRATT000429". The record is from RNAcentral. Lineage: Eukaryota; Metazoa; Chordata; Mammalia; Rodentia; Muridae.